This 482-nucleotide ribosomal RNA is filed under the name uncultured bacterium. Its description in RNAcentral is "partial 16S ribosomal RNA". It matches the Rfam family "Bacterial small subunit ribosomal RNA", at positions 29 to 523 of the family's 1533-position model. The record is from RNAcentral.
AUUGAACGCUGGCGGCAUGCCUUACACAUGCAAGUCGAACGGUAGCGCGGGGCAACCUGGCGACGAGUGGCGAACGGGUGAGUAAUGCAUCGGAACGUGCCCAGUAGUGGGGGUUAGCUAAUACCGCAUACGCCCUGAGGGGGAAAGCGGGGGACCGUAAGGCCUCGCGUAAUUGGAGCGGCCGAUGUCUGAUUAGCUAGUUGGUGAGGUAAAGGCUCACCAAGGCGACGAUCAGUAGCAGGUCUGAGAGGAUGAUCUGCCACACUGGAACUGAGACACGGUCCAGACUCCUACGGGAGGCAGCAGUGGGGAAUUUUGGACAAUGGGCGAAAGCCUGAUCCAGCCAUUCCGCGUGAGUGAAGAAGGCCUUCGGGUUGUAAAGCUCUUUCGGCAGGGAAGAAACGCUCUGGGAUAAUACUCCGGGGUAAUGACGGUACCUGAAGAAGAAGCACCGGCUAACUACGUGCCAGCCGCCGCAGUAA